AGAGUUUGAUCAUGGCUCAGGAUGAACGCUGGCGGUAUGCCUAACACAUGCAAGUCGAACGAUGUCUUCGGACAUAGUGGCGGACGGGUGAGUAACGCGUGAGAAUCUGCCUCUAGGAUGGGGAUAACGGUUGGAAACGACCGCUAACACCCAAUAUGCCGUAAGGUGAAAAAUUUAUUGCCUGGAGAGGAGCUCGCGUCUGAUUAGCUAGUUGGUGGGGUAAGAGCUCACCAAGGCCUCGAUCAGUAGCUGGUCUGAGAGGAUGAGCAGCCACACUGGGACUGAGACACGGCCCAGACUCCUACGGGAGGCAGCAGUGGGGAAUUUUCCGCAAUGGGCGAAAGCCUGACGGAGCAAUACCGCGUGAGGGAGGAAUGCCUUUGGGUUGUAAACCUCUUUUCUCAGGGAAGAAGAUCUGACGGUACCUGAGGAAUAAGUAUCGGCUAACUCCGUGCCAGCAGCCGCGGUAAUACGGAGGAUGCAAGCGUUAUCCGGAAUCAUUGGGCGUAAAGCGUCCGCAGGUGGUUUCCAAAGUCUGCUGUUAAAGACUGGAGCUCAACUCCGGAACGGCGGUGGAAACUUGGAAACUAGAGUUCGGUAGGGGUAGCAGGAAUUCCCAGUGUAGCGGUGAAAUGCGUAGAUAUUGGGAAGAACAUCGGUGGCGAAGGCGUGCUACUGGACCGUAACUGACACUCAGGGACGAAAGCUAGGGGAGCGAAAGGGAUUAGAUACCCCUGUAGUCCUAGCUGUAAACGAUGGAAACUAGGUGUGGCUUGUAUCGACCCGAGCCGUGCCGUANCU
RNAcentral lists this ribosomal RNA (801 nucleotides) under uncultured marine microorganism. Its description in RNAcentral is "bacterial SSU rRNA". It matches the Rfam family "Bacterial small subunit ribosomal RNA", at positions 8 to 853 of the family's 1533-position model. The record is from RNAcentral.